GAACGCUGUCGGCGUGCCUAAUACAUGCAAGUCGAGCGAACGGACGAGAAGCUUGCUUGUCUGAUGUUAGCGGCGGACGCCUGAGUAACACGUGGAUAACCUACCUAUAAGACUGGGAUAACUUCGGGAAACCGGAGCUAAUACCGGAUAAUAUUUUGAACCGCAUGGUUCAAAAGUGAAAGACGGUCUUGCUGUCACUUAUAGAUGGAUCCGCGCUGCAUUAGCUAGUUGGAAUGGUAACGGCUUACCAAGGCAACGAUACGUAGCCGACCUGAGAGGGUGAUCGGCCACACUGGAACUGAGACACGGUCCAGACUCCUACGGGAGGCAGCAGUAGGGAAUCUUCCGCAAUGGGCGAAAGCCUGACGGAGCAACGCCGCGUGAGUGAUGAAGGUCUUCGGAUCGUAAAACUCUGUUAUUAGGGAAGAACAUAUGUGUAAGUAACUGUGCACAUCUUGACGGUACCUAAUCAGAAAGCCACGGCUAACUACGUGCCAGCAGCCGCGGUAAUACGUAGGUGGCAAGCGUUAUCCGGAAUUAUUGGGCGUAAAGCGCGCGUAGGCGGUUUUUUAAGCACGAUGUGAAAGCCCACGGCUCAACCGUGGAGGGUCAUUGGAAACUGGAAAACUUGAGUGCAGAAGAGGAAAGUGGAAUUCCAUGUGUAGCGGUGAAAUGCGCAGAGAUAUGGAGGAACACCAGUGGCGAAGGCGACUUUCUGGUCUGUAACUGACGCUGAUGUGCGAAAGCGUGGGGAUCAAACAGGAUUAGAUACCCUGGUAGUCCACGCCGUAAACGAUGAGUGCUAAGUGUUAGGGGGUUUCCGCCCCUUAGUGCUGCAGCUAACGCAUUAAGCACUCGGUCUGGGGAGUACGACCGCAAGGUUGAAACUCAAAGGAAUUGACGGGGACCCGCACAAGCGGUGGAGCAUGUGGUUUAAUUCGAAGCAACGCGAAGAACCUUACCAAAUCUUGACAUCCUUUGACAACUCUAGAGAUAGAGCCUUCCCCUUCGGGGGACAAGUGACAGGUGGUGCAUGGUUGUCGUCUCCUCGUGUCGUGAGAUGUUGGGUUAUCUCCCGCAACGAGCGAACCCAUUAGCAAUGUAGCCAUCAUUAAGUUGGGCACUCUAAGUUGACUGCCGGUGACAAACCGGAGGAAGGUGGGGAUGACGUCA
Molecule: ribosomal RNA, 1173 nt
Filed under: Staphylococcus aureus
Lineage: Bacteria; Bacillati; Bacillota; Bacilli; Caryophanales; Staphylococcaceae
Description: bacterial SSU rRNA
Rfam family: Bacterial small subunit ribosomal RNA
Source: RNAcentral